Molecule: transfer RNA, 74 nt
Filed under: Frankineae bacterium MT45
Lineage: Bacteria; Bacillati; Actinomycetota; Actinomycetes; Frankiales
Also listed under: 1 other name
Rfam family: tRNA
About the family: Transfer RNA (tRNA) molecules are approximately 80 nucleotides in length. Their secondary structure includes four short double-helical elements and three loops (D, anti-codon, and T loops).
Source: Rfam by way of RNAcentral
GGGGCGGUAGCUCAGCUGGUUAGAGCAGGGGACUCAUAAUCCCUGGGUCGUCGGUUCGAGCCCGACCCGCCCCA